ACAUGGCUAUCAACCAAUCACAGUGUGCGUACUAUUUAAUUUAUUUNAUAAUUCUAUAUAUUCCAUUUCAGUCGCAAGUAAAACGAAAGUAAAACUACUUGAAUCAAAUUGGCGACCCUCUUCUUUCCGCUCUUCGUCAGUUUAUAUUAAGGACAGAUGGCAAAGAAAGGCUUAGACUGGAAAGGUCAAAUACAAUACCUCGAUUGGGACGAUGAUAAUAUUAGGCUGAGCCAAUGCAAACUCCGGGAUCGGGAAUGGCAACCAAAGCUGAAGCAUCAGUAUAUUGUUCUGGAAACAAAGAACUGGAGAGAACUGGUGGUGGGCGAUCGAAAAAGACGGAGAGGGAAUCGUACUUCAAAGAAGUAAAAGAUUAGAAGACGUUGAAGGGCACAGAACUGAUGGUACACCCAGACCCGAACCAUUAAUGCAAAUGCAUUUUCAUGACGUUCGAGAAAAGGACUUAACGAUGACAAGAAUACUGGACUACGUUGCUUUUACAAAAUUACAUCUCCCCUAUCACUUUUUAUUUGCAAACUGCAAACGUUUUGCUGCGGAGCUUUAUAAUGCGAUAAUUAAGUAUUAGGACUUCUCCCAUGCAGUACCAUACUCUUAUGAAACGCAACGGAACUGUAAGGUCAUAUUCAAGUAAAGUCGCUAGAGGUUAAUUGUGAGUUUGCUGAAGAUGUAUACACCUAUUUCAAAAGACGUUGUCGGUUGGAUAUCUGAAAUCAGAAAUCUGAGACCGACUGGAAAUGUGGGGGACUGAGUGUUUUCUCGUUCAAAAUUCAAUAUACAUUUACCCAGAUCGUUUGCCAGCACAGGUCAUCGCUCAAAGUUAGUAUAUCAAGAUAUUAACUUUUUGCGAACUACUAAUUAAAACCACAAACAAUUUACAGCUUACAACCCACAAUUCCUUUCGGUCUCAGAUUUCAGAUUUCCGACCGACAACGUUUUUUGAAAUAGGCGUAUAUCCUAAUCGCUAUUUUAGUAUAUUAGAAAUUGUUGUAUUGUUCCUUAAACCAUUGUAACGAACCAUNAUUUCUUAAUACUCUUAAAAUACGUUAAUAUUAAUAUUUAUCUAAAAUAUUUAAUAUUAACUUUUAAUCAAUUAGUAGUAGGUUUAGUUUAGUCACGUUAACGUUAACGUUUGUAUUUGAUUACAAACAUUUUAGAAUCACUCCACCCUAAGGGUACUCUUGUAUCCUGCUGCAUCGAAAACAUUUAGAUUUUCCUUCUUAUGUUGUUUAGCGGGUAAUUUAGGGAUAAUAACACUAUAUUUAAUAUUCUUGUUCUAUCAUAUUGUAGACCCCUGGCAUGCAGACUACCUGUAUGAGUCCAGUCAUAUAGCCUGGUCAAGCUAAGCGAGUACUGCUCAGUGUACACCUGAUUCUAAUUGUAGUUUUAUCUUCUCUUCGUGACAUUCGAUGGCGAGUGUUCUCGAAGGGGGGAAUAAUAUGUAGAAGGGAAAAAUAUAAUCAAGGGAAAAUGUUAGGGAAAAACAUCCUAGAAAUAGAAAAUUAUCUGCUAAACCUUCUGUAAAUAAGGAAUGUAAGGAAAUCUCUUUAUUUUAAUGACAUGUCAAUAGACAACUUGUCAUUGACCAAUGGCGAGUCAUUCACAAUAACUUGUUCAUUAACUCCAGGGUCAAGGAUGUUUGUUCAUUGACAUGGCCUUACACUUCUAAUUGGGAAGUACGUUUUGUAGUAAACAACAGCUGCAAAUCUACUGUACGUUUCCAGUGAAAAUGGGUUUUGAUCAUGUACAACUUUGUACAUGCGUACUGGAAAAGAGCAGGGUUGUUUACUGUACAAACAACUACUUCCUAAGCCUUUUUCUGUUCACUUUUUCAGAAUGAUCUUUCUUAUAACUUUAGGAUAUCUUUAGUGCAAUCUGCUCUGUACUAGUUAAGUUAGCGAACGCCACCGACAGAUUUUCAGGGUCAGCUCUUAGAACUGAGUGCUCGUACUUUUUCCUAAAGUCAACACCUGUCUCAAGCUCUUACGUCAUACUUGACCUAACUGGUGUAAUCUAGUUUGACCUAGUAUAACCGGUUGUGAGGUAUUGCGUAAGCUUAGUCCUUAAAUACGAGCUUACUCAGAGUUCAGUUCAGUGAGAGUGAGUGAGAGCUGAUAGCACAGUGCACAACGAAGUAGCAGCUAGUCAAGAGCCAUAACCAGAGUUCAGAUGAGAUCAUUGUAAAGUACUACAAGCAACAGAAAAUAAACCAGAAGGAAGCAACUGAA
RNAcentral lists this unclassified non-coding RNA (2243 nucleotides) under Actinia tenebrosa (Australian red waratah sea anemone). Its description in RNAcentral is "uncharacterized LOC116294279, transcript variant X3". The record is from RNAcentral. Lineage: Eukaryota; Metazoa; Cnidaria; Anthozoa; Actiniaria; Actiniidae.